CCGUUCCUCGCGUUGGUGUUUUAUGAUAUGAACCUGGGAAAUUACUCUGUUAAAUAAUGUAUUGAAAACCUUUUUGUAACAACGUUAAUAAAAUGGGUGAUUUUGAAAAGUUUUAAUUGUUUUGAAAUUUUGGACGUUACAAGUUGGUAUCAGAGCCUUGGUUUGAGUGAAUUGGGGAAACAUUCGUGUGACUCCAGUCUCAAAUCGAGGAGGAUUUUAAAAAGAGAAAUUAAAAUGAGAAAUUAAAAUGGUUUUCAAAUUAAGUAAAAGGAGGACGCGGAGGUACGAUCAGCCGGAGCCAGUAAGUAACCCCAAGAUACCAUACAUGAUAUUUGUUUAUUUGAGCUUGAUAGAACAGCAUGCUAGAGUUAGGCUAGGGAUCUUCAGGAAUUCAUGAUAAUGUUGCCUGAUUUGUGAUGCCUGUAGCCUAGGGUCCCUUAUGGGAUAUUCUCAGUGUUCCUCUAGUGGUGAGGGUUGAUAGUUGUUAUGCAUGUUCCCUAGGGUAUUGUGGUAGUACUUCAUACAAAUAUGGGUAGGUGUGGAAGGUAGUAUGGGCCCGUACUACUGAAAGCACAGGACCCAUACGCGUAUCAGGGAAACCAUGAUCUCUAGGGUAGGGUUGCGAGAGUUGGAUCCCAGGAUUGUGGGAAGUGUCUGAGAUUGGUAGGGUGUCUUCAGUAUGGAGAUUUCGAGGCAUGAUGAUAGUGGAUCCGGAUCAGGAUCGGGAGCUGGAGAGCGAGUUCCGGGUGGAUCGGUGCCGUCGGAGGUUAUCGAUCGGACGAGCACGAGCGAGCGGGAUGCGAGGAUUCGCGAGAUCCUGCGUGAUGAGGUUGCUGCAUUGUUACGGGCUGAGUCGCCAGAAUUGUUUGGGUCGAUCAGGACCGCCAUGGUUGAGUAGUUUGAUGAGCGAUAUGCGGCUCUCGCAGAGACGGCUGCCGCGGCAGUUACAGCGGCUGUAGCAACGGCAAAGAGAGGAGCUAGUCGGGGUUUUCAGUAUCGGGACUUCUAUUAUACGAAGCCUCCCACAUUCGAUGGAGUUCAGGACCCGAUUGUUGCUAUGAGAUGGUUAUCAGACGUGGAGGGGUGUUUCUCCACGAGUUUAUGCCCUGCUGAUCAGAGGGUGAGGUGUGCUCUGAACCUGUUGAGGCUAGGAGCGAAGGAUUGGUGGAGAUUGACUACGAGGUCAUUUUCCGAUGCGCAGAGGGCUGCGGUUUCAUGGGAUCAAUUCAGAGAGAUGUUCAGUACUCGCUAUGUUCCGCGGGAUGAAAAGGAGAGAUUGGCUCGGGAGUUCCUUGAGCUGAAGCAGGAUUUGGAGUCGGUGACUGAGAUCACCAGGAUGUUUAUUGAGAGGGCGAUGUUUUGCCCUGAGUUCGCUUCGGAGCAGGCUCAGAUGUCCCGAUAUCUGAGUAUGCUCAAGGGGGAUAUCAGACAGUUCGUGUCUGCGCAGAGGUGCGAGACCUUGUUGGAGUUGCAGGAGGCCGCCAUGCGGCGUGAGUUAGAGGUUGAGUUGCAGUUGCGUGAGCUGAGGCAGGCCCCGAUGCAGUCGCAGUCGGCGCCGAAACGGUCCAUGACCGUAGACGUUAGAAUGGGGGAUCGGAGCGGUCACACUUGUGGGAAGUGUGAGAGAGAUGGCACCGGAGCUUGUUGGCCCAGUGGUGCAUGCCGCAAGUGCGGAAAGGAGGGGCAUGGUGCACGGGAUUGUCGGCAGUCAGUGCCAAUUCGGGAUUUCAGGAUUUGUUAUCAGUGUCGGCAGGUUGGACAUUUGAGGGUCAACUGUCCACAGCUUUCUGCAGGACCGGUGCAGGCUCUAGCACCGGCCACCUUGAGGAGUUCAGGAGGAGGACAGGAUGGAGCAGAGCCCCAAGGGCUCAGGGUCGUGCUUAUCGGCUUGCGGCAGAGGGAGACGGAGCAGUGCCGGAGGCAGCUGCGGGUAUGAUGCUUUCUUGAUGUCUUGAUUGUCUUGCGUUGAUUGUGGCGUAUUGUUUGUGCUGGUAUCUUGUGUGGAUUUCGAUGCGGUAUUCGUUGUUUCGCGGGUUUGGCAUGGUUAUGGAUUGGUGCUUCAGGUUUUCGCUUUGGCAUUCGUUGUUCCCUGAUGGUUUGGUAUGGUUAUAGUUUGGUGUUUUGGUGCCGGUAGCCUUGUGCGGUUUUCGAUGCGGUAUUCAUCCUUUGGCAGGUUGUGGGUUUGGUUACGGGUUAUUGUUGGGAAUUCCGUUGGUUAUCGUUCGUGAGGGUUGUUAGUGGAGAUGCGGCACUGGGUUGAAUGUCGGGUAGCAUCUGCAGUCGUAGAGUGGAUAAUUGAAAGACCGGAUUCUUUUGAGUGGAUUGAUCAGGGAGGAGAUGUGUUUUGCUGAGGGUUGCUUAUGCUUGUGGGAAGCAGUCAGUGGGUAAAUGUUCUCUUUGUGCAGGAUGGUUCUGAAAGGUCGUUAAUGACGAUCGGUGGCAGUUAGUCAGUGCUUUAGUGGGGGAGAAUUGGAGAAUUCUCCGGGAGAUCGAUGAGUAUGUGAGGGUGCUUAGCUGUUGGGAUUCAGCAGUGUUUGUCAGCGCAGAGUAUAGGCCGACGAGAGCGAGUGUCGGGUAUGCGGGGCGGGAUACAGACCUAGGGCAUUUGAUUGUGGAGGCCUGAGAGAAGGCCGGGAUCAAGCUUGAGUAAGUAACCGGGGUUAUGCGAUCAGAGUAUUUGUAUGUUUGAGGUACGUGAUGGGUUGUACUGCAUUAAUCCCACGGGAUUAUGUUGUGCAUGUUUCUAGAGCUGGAACCGGAAGGUUCCCAGAGUUAGAACCUGAGGGUUCGCAGAGUUUGGGUGUACGGACCCACAGAGAUAUAGCCUCGAGUGGCUAGUAUGUGUUAUGAGAGUCGGUCCAGUCAUGCUGGAGACUCUGUUGGUAUUGCUGGAUCAGUUUGAGAUUGCGGAUCGUGUAUGUUGCAGUGUGAUUGCAUUGGAAGGUCUGGCCCCGGGUUAGUGAUCUUGUUUAGCUGAGGCAGUGAUUUUGAUGAGUGGAGAGAGUGCAUGGGAUUGAGAGCCCCUGCAAUGAGAACCAGAGUAUGUGAAUAGCGGUUACGCAAAAAGGGUGGUGUCGCUUGGGGCAAGCACCGUGGCACCGGUUGGAGUGGCAUUAUGGCCAAGAGGGUCCCUUGGAAGGAAAAGAGAAAGGUGUGUAACUCCGAAGGGGAGUGCAAGUUCACGAGAAUGAAAGCUGCAGAGCAGAGUUAUGGUUAGAGUAUUUCGAGUAUGCCUUCGAGCAUCGUGUUCGCGGCAGCGAAGUAGGAACCCAUCCGGUUUGGGAUGUCUGUUGAGGCUCAGAAGGGAUGCAGGGAGAGAGAGAAUCUUAAAUUCUCAGUGUGAUUCUGAUCAGAGUGUAGGGUGGAUGUAGUGGUUCAUCUUGGGAGAUGUUCGAGGAUAUCAUCAGUGUAUCGGGUCUUUCAACCUGCGGGUGUUGGGACUAGUUCAGUAUGUGUAUGUGAUGGCAAGAGGAAACCUUGUGAGAGUUGCUCUGAGAGUGAGAAUGGAUCUCUCAGUCGGUCCGGAAUGGACAAAGUGGGCUUUGGAUCGGGGAUCCGGUGGUUCAUGGUUUCCUAACCCUUAUGGGUCGAGUGAUCGUUGAGAUUUAGAGCAGAGUUGCAUCUUGGGUAAUUUUCGGUUACAGAGAGUGAUGUGCAGUACAGAGAUCGUGCUUCAGUCGACAGAGCAGAUUCAGCAGAUUAGACAGAGGUUAUUGACCGCCCAGAGCCGACAGGAAAGUUAUGCAGACAGACGCCGGUCCGAGCUUGAGUUUCAGGUCGGUGACUUCGUAUUCCUGCAGGCCUCUCCUUGGAGAGGAGUGAUUCGAUUCAGGAAGAGGGGCAAGUUGGGGCCCCGGUAUAUUGGACCUUUUCAUGUGAUUGCGGGGGUAGGCCGGGUGGCCUAUCGUUUGGAGUUGCCCACGGAUUUGAGACAAAUCCACGAUAUUUUUCAUGUGUCGCAAUUGAGGAAGUAUAUAGCCGAUGAGUCGGCAGUGGUUCCAUUAGAAGACAUUCAGGUGGAUGCGAGCCUGAAUUAUGCCGAGAAGCCAGUGGUCAUCAGAGAACGGAAGAUCGAGGUUCUGAGGAAUAAGGAGAUACCUCUGGUGUUAGUUCAGUGGCAGCACCGGAGGGGAUCGGAAAUGAACUGUGAUCUGGAACGUGAUAUGUGGGAGCAGCAUCCGGGGCUAUUUUCAGAGUGAGACUUCGAGGGCGAAGUCUAGUUCUAGUGGGGGAGAGUUGUAACAGCCCGGAAUUUCAAAUAUUGAUAUAAUUAUGAUUUUGGGGGUGUUUUAAGAGGGGACUCGGCGAGUUGGAGCCUAGACUCGCCGAGUAGGAUCGCAGACCGGGUCGCGGGUUCGCGACUGGACUCGACGAGUCCAGAUAUGGACUCGGCGAGUCUGCGCUGUUUAGCGAAAACCCUAACCGUUCAGGUUUGGGACGUAUAAGAGGGACUUAUUGGCCGUCAUUGUUCAUUUUAGCCUUCUGAGAAGAACCCUAAAUCGAUUGGGUGCAUCUGGAGCAAGGUUUAAGGGCCAUUGUUGAUCUUGGAAGAGUUGUUGUGCAAGGAAGAGAAGGGCUUGGCUAAAGGAACAGCAAGGGAGUCACGUUCUGAGGAUUUGGGGACACAGAGGGCACAUUAUUCAGGUAAGAAUUCGAAUUAUGCUCUGCUAUGUUGAUGUGUCAUGGAAUUAGGGUUUAUGGAACCCCUUUGUGAUUAGAUUAAGUGUUACCCUAGUCCCCCAAACGACUAUAACCCUGUAUUAGGACCUUAGAGGUCCAGAAGGUCCCAUGCUUGUGUAUUUCGGGACAAUACUUAUCUCAGGAAGCAGUUUGAUCGACUGCAUGGCAUGGACUCGACGAGUCCGAUGAACAGACUCGGCGAGUAGCUUGAAGAAUAACUGGGACUCGUCGAGUUGUUCUUCAGACUCGGCGAGUUGAGUCGGGGUGGCCCCGCGAUUCUUCCAGGAGGAACUCGUCGAGUAAAAAGGGGAUACUCGACGUGUAGAAAGGGAAUCUUAAGGAAUCGGUGAGUCAAGGGCGAGUGGACUCAGAGUCGUUGAACUCGGCGAGUCUUGGGGUGACUCGGCGAGUUAGGUCGCGGGUUAAGUGAAGUUCUGAGUAUGGGGACUCGGCGAGUCAUAGGGUUGACUCGGCGAGUAGGGUCAGUCAGGGGUUGACUUUGACCUUGUCUUUGACCAAGGAUUGACCAGUGGUUCCAGGGGUAUUUUGGUAAUUGUUGUUUAUUGUUUGAGUUCAGUGCAUUGGUGGUUAUCCAGAGGUGGAGAUCGUAUCAGUGAUCGGAGCAGCUUGAGCUAUCUGUUCAGUCGGCAGUUUCGAGGUGAGUUAUCCUCACUAUAUCGCUAGGGUUUAUGGCACCAAUGCCAACCCUUUUAUCGGAUGGAAAUCCGGGUAGUUGUCAGUUGUUAUAUGUUAUGGGCCGGAAGGCAAUACAUGUUAUGGGCCGGAAGGCAUUACUAUGUGGACCGGAAGGUCAUGGCCUGGAAAGGCGUAUGUAUGCAUUUAGUAUGUUGACUGAUUCAUAGGGUAAUGUUAUGAUAGUGACCGGCUAGACCGGUAUCUUGUUAGAGUAAUGCUAUGAUAUGUGAUCUGUUGAUCGAUUGUUGUCUAUGAACUGCUAUAUGAUUAUUUGUUAUGUUAUAUAUGCAUUUUAUGCUUAUGGGCCGGAAGGCGAUAUGUUAUGGGCCGGAAGGCAAUAUGUUGUGUGAUGGACCGGAAGGUCGGCGUGGGUAGGACCGGAAGGUUUACCCAGCAGGGACGGAAGUCCCCUGAGACACAUGGACCGGAAGGUCAGGGCCUGGAAAGGCGUAUAUGUGGUUGGUAUUCUGGGGGUAUCUCACUAAGCUUUCGGGCUUACAGUUGUGGUUUUAUGUUUCAGGUUCUCAAGAGUCUGUGGCAAGGCAAAGGCGUGAUCGUACCGUUCCUCGCGUUGGUGUUUUAUGAUAUGAACCUGGGAAAUUACUCUGUUUAAUAAUGUAUUGAAAACCUUUUUGUAACAACGUUAAUAAAAUGGGUGAUUUUGAAAAGUUUUAAUUGUUUUGAAAUUUUGGAUGUUACAAGUUGGUAUCAGAGCCUUGGUUUGAGUGAAUUGGGGAAACAUUCGUGUGACUCCAGUCUCAAAUCGAGGAGGAUUUUAAAAAGAGAAAUUAAAAUGGUUUUCAAAUUUAGUAAAAGGAGGACGCGGAGGUACGAUCAGCCGGAGCCAGUAAGUAACCCCAAGAUACCAUACAUGAUAUUUGUUUAUUUGAGCUUGAUAGAACAGCAUGCUAGAG
This 6290-nucleotide long non-coding RNA is filed under the name Lactuca sativa (garden lettuce). RNAcentral describes it as "long non-coding RNA (LSAT_LNC000719)". The record is from RNAcentral. Lineage: Eukaryota; Viridiplantae; Streptophyta; Magnoliopsida; Asterales; Asteraceae.